Molecule: ribosomal RNA, 253 nt
Filed under: uncultured Atopobium sp.
Lineage: Bacteria; Bacillati; Actinomycetota; Coriobacteriia; Coriobacteriales; Atopobiaceae
Description: partial 16S ribosomal RNA
Rfam family: Bacterial small subunit ribosomal RNA
Source: RNAcentral
CGGCUGAGUAACACGUGGGCAACCUGCCCUCCUCUUGGGGAUAGCCUCGGGAAACCGAGGAUAAUACCCGAUACUUCAAUGUGGCCGCAUGACGACAUUGAGAAAGCUUUUGCGGAGAAGGAUGGGCCCGCGGCCUGUUAGCUUGUUGGUGGGGUAGAGGCCUACCAAGGCAAUGAUGGGCAGCUGGGUUGAGAGACCGACCAGCCAGAUUGGGACUGAGACACGGCCCAGACUCCUACGGGAGGCAGCAGCA